GACGAACGCUGGCGGCGUGCUUAACACAUGCAAGUCGAACGGAAAGGCCCUGCUUUUGUGGGGUGCUCGAGUGGCGAACGGGUGAGUAACACGUGAGUAACCUGCCCUUGACUUUGGGAUAACUUCAGGAAACUGGGGCUAAUACCGGAUAGGAGCUCCUGCUGCAUGGUGGGGGUUGGAAAGUUUCGGCGGUUGGGGAUGGACUCGCGGCUUAUCAGCUUGUUGGUGGGGUAGUGGCUUACCAAGGCUUUGACGGGUAGCCGGCCUGAGAGGGUGACCGGGCACCAUGGGCCUGAGAGAGGCAGCAGUGUGGUAUAGGAGGCAGUGGUCGAGAGCAUUGUCCAGCCAGGGGGAGUGUGAUGAGGAGGCGCUGGGUGUGGAAAGAACGUUUUGGGGUUGUAAAGGGCUUUAGGCUGUUACGUAGCGUGAGUGACGGUAAUGGGAAAAGAAGCACCGGCUAACUACGUG
This 468-nucleotide ribosomal RNA is filed under the name uncultured bacterium. Its description in RNAcentral is "partial 16S ribosomal RNA". It matches the Rfam family "Bacterial small subunit ribosomal RNA", at positions 28 to 507 of the family's 1533-position model. The record is from RNAcentral.